AACGUAGGUACCGAGCGUUAUCCGGAUUUACUGGGCGUAAAGCGUGUUCAGGCGGUCUGGCAAGUCGGGCAUGAAAUCUCUCGGCUCAACCGGGAGGGGUUGUCCGAUACUGCUGGACUGGAGGGCAGCAGAGGGUGGUGGAAUUCCGGGUGUAGUGGUGAAAUGCGUAGAUAUCCGGAGGAACACCAGUGGCGAAGGCGGCCACCUGGGCUGUACCUGACGCUAACACACGAAAGCUAGGGGAGCGAAC
This 250-nucleotide ribosomal RNA is filed under the name uncultured bacterium. RNAcentral's name for it is "partial 16S ribosomal RNA". It matches the Rfam family "Bacterial small subunit ribosomal RNA", at positions 524 to 773 of the family's 1533-position model. The record is from RNAcentral.